Molecule: ribosomal RNA, 253 nt
Filed under: uncultured bacterium
Lineage: Bacteria
Description: partial 16S ribosomal RNA
Rfam family: Bacterial small subunit ribosomal RNA
Source: RNAcentral
UACGAAGGGGGCUAGCGUUGCUCGGAAUCACUGGGCUUAAAGCGUGUGUAGGCGGAUUGGUAAGUACCUUGUGAAAUCCCACGGCUCAACCGUGGAACUGCUCGGUAUACUGCCUGUCUUGUGCAACCUAGGGGCGAGCGGAACAGAUGGUGGAGCGGUGAAAUGCGUAGAUAUCAUCUGGAACGCCAAUGGUGAAAACAGCUCGCUGGGGGUUUGCAGACGCUGAGACACGAAAGCCAGGGGAGCGAACGGG